CCCUGGUGUGGUAGCACAUGUCUUUAGUCUCAGUGCCCCUACAGGGAGAUGGGAGGUGGAGGCAGGAGAAUGUCUAGGAGCUCAUGGGUCAGUCAGCCUGCCUUAUGCAGACCUUGCAUCAACCACAAGGUGGAGAGCUGUUAAGACUGGUCAAGACCUGAAAAGAAUAAAGAGUGACACAGAGAAGAGUGUGCCAUGGAGAGACAGUAAACUUAUUCUUUUGGUCCUUUGGACACUGACUGGUGAGUCCACAGUGGGUGGAAUGAAGGCAGAAGACUGAGAAGACAAACGUUGGCACCAGUGCCUGGAAAAUGAUUCCCUGCAGGUGGAAAAAUCUUUCCGCCAUUCCUCCGAGGCGAGACUGAAAGCAAAGAAAUCAUGCAGAAAUGCUCACGGAAAAUCCGAGCAAGAAUAUUUUUAGCUGCCUGACCUUUUGGUGAGAGUAUUAUCUCCUUGAAAAGGAAAAAUUAUCAAAAGAAUGCUCUCUCUUCACAGAGGCAGGAGGUGGGGACAAGCCAGAGGUCGAACCACUCCAGCCUGUGCUUCACUUUGUGGGGUCAGGGUGACAGUGCCUUGUCUUUCUGCCUGAGUGAGACUCGGGCUUUGUUCUUGUGUAACCAUGUCCCCACUCGGCAGAGUGUGUGUGCAUGCAAAUUCUGGAUUCCCAUGAUAUCUUCCUCCCCUUUCUUUCUCCCUUCUCCCUUCUCUCCCUGUCUCUCUCCCCAGGCCUCCGUUCCUGUUCCCUUUUGUGCCUCUUUGUCUUCCUCUCUAGCCUGGCUCUGUUGGACUUGGGUGGUUUGCUUUGCCAUGAUACUUUCUGAAUUGUCUGCAUACUGUGUUCUGCUAAGUUCAUUGAUAGUAAGUUUGUUUUCAAAAUUCUCUGCUGUCUCCCACAUCAAGUCAAUUCCCAAUAACAUUAUGGGGUGGACGAGGCUUGGCUCUGCUUUGCAGUCUCUCUACAUUCAUUGUUUGUUUGCUUGCUUUUGUAGACUUCUCAGUUCUAGCUCUUCUCCCCUGCAUCCUAAAAUCCCAAGAACUAAAAGGUUCCAUGACCCGCGGGUUCAUCAUAUUGUCAAAACGUAGUUCUUGUGGCUUUGCUCUCUUCAUUUUCCGAAAUGACCAUUUUCCAGGGACCUUUCCUGGCUCUCGUUUCUUGGCGUGGCGGCUACUGGCUCUUUUCUUAGGAAGGAGCAGAGGUGAAGCCAGUUCACGAAUGACCUCGAUAGCUGAUUCCACUUUCUUAUUCCUCUGCAAACCUGAGGAAUGAGGAAUUCCCUGCAAGUCUGAGGAAUGAUCAGCAAAUGAAGGUUGAAUAUACUUAGCACGAAGUUAUAAAUACAAACGUACCGUGAAGUAAUGGUUUCACCUAUCUGCCAUUCAUUUCCUCCCAUUUUGAUUUUAAAGUCACAGUUAUAAUAAAGAGUCAAUAGCU
Molecule: long non-coding RNA, 1432 nt
Filed under: Mus musculus (house mouse)
Lineage: Eukaryota; Metazoa; Chordata; Mammalia; Rodentia; Muridae
Description: predicted gene 5082
Source: RNAcentral